UACGGAGGGGGCUAGCGUUGUUCGGAAUUACUGGGCGUAAAGCGCACGUAGGCGGCUUUGUAAGUUAGAGGUGAAAGCCCAGAGCUCAACUCUGGAAUUGCCUUUAAGACUGCAUCGCUUGAACAUCGGAGAGGUAAGUGGAAUUCCGAGUGUAGAGGUGAAAUUCGUAGAUAUUCGGAAGAACACCAGUGGCGAAGGCGACUUACUGGACACAUAUUGACGCUGAGGUGCGAAAGCGUGGGGAGCAAACAGG
This 253-nucleotide ribosomal RNA is filed under the name uncultured bacterium. RNAcentral describes it as "partial 16S ribosomal RNA". It matches the Rfam family "Bacterial small subunit ribosomal RNA", at positions 524 to 776 of the family's 1533-position model. The record is from RNAcentral.